GAUGAACGCUGGCGGCGUGCCUAACACAUGCAAGUCGAACGGGGUUAAGCGAAAUUUUCGGAUGGAGCUUAACUUAGUGGCGGACGGGUGAGUAACGCGUGGAUAACCUGCCUCACACUGGGGGAUAGCAGCUGGAAACGGCUGGUAAUACCGCAUAAGACCACGGCACCGCAUGGUGCAGGGGUAAAAGAUUUAUCGGUGUGAGAUGGAUCCGCGUCUGAUUAGCCAGUUGGCGGGGUAACGGCCCACCAAAGCGACGAUCAGUAGCCGGCCUGAGAGGGUGAACGGCCACAUUGGGACUGAGACACGGCCCAA
RNAcentral lists this ribosomal RNA (315 nucleotides) under uncultured bacterium. RNAcentral's name for it is "bacterial SSU rRNA". It matches the Rfam family "Bacterial small subunit ribosomal RNA", at positions 28 to 334 of the family's 1533-position model. The record is from RNAcentral.